RNAcentral lists this ribosomal RNA (704 nucleotides) under Kocuria sp. RNAcentral's name for it is "bacterial SSU rRNA". It matches the Rfam family "Bacterial small subunit ribosomal RNA", at positions 74 to 785 of the family's 1533-position model. The record is from RNAcentral. Lineage: Bacteria; Bacillati; Actinomycetota; Actinomycetes; Micrococcales; Micrococcaceae.
GGGUGUUUUUCAUCUGGGUGGAUGAGUGGCGAACGGGUGAGUAAUACGUGAGUAACCUGCCCUUGACUCUGGGAUAAGCCUGGGAAACUGGGUCUAAUACUGGAUACUACGUGCCCUCGCAUGGGGGUGUGUGGAAAGGGUUUUACUGGUUUUGGAUGGGCUCACGGCCUAUCAGCUUGUUGGUGGGGUAAUGGCCUACCAAGGCGACGACGGGUAGCCGGCCUGAGAGGGUGACCGGCCACACUGGGACUGAGACACGGCCCAGACUCCUACGGGAGGCAGCAGUGGGGAAUAUUGCACAAUGGGCGAAAGCCUGAUGCAGCGACGCCGCGUGAGGGAUGACGGCCUUCGGGUUGUAAACCUCUUUCAGCACGGAAGAAGCGAAAGUGACGGUACGUGCAGAAGAAGCGCCGGCUAACUACGUGCCAGCAGCCGCGGUAAUACGUAGGGCGCAAGCGUUGUCCGGAAUUAUUGGGCGUAAAGAGCUCGUAGGCGGUUUGUCGCGUCUGCUGUGAAAGCCCGGGGCUUAACCCCGUGGUGUGCAGUGGGUACGGGCAGACUAGAGUGCAGUAGGGGAGACUGGAAUUCCUGGUGUAGCGGUGAAAUGCGCAGAUAUCAGGAGGAACACCGAUGGCGAAGGCAGGUCUCUGGGCUGUUACUGACGCUGAGGAGCGAAAGCAUGGGGAGCGAACAGGAUUAGAUAC